UACGGGGGGGGCAAGCGUUGUUCGGAAUCACUGGGCUUAAAGGGCGCGUAGGCGGUCCGCCAAGUCAGGGGUGAAAUCCUGCAGCUUAACUGUAGAAGUGCCUCUGAUACUGGCGGUCUUGAGGGAAAUAGGGGUGUGCGGAACUUCCAGUGGAGCGGUGAAAUGCGUUGAUAUUGGAAGGAACGCCGGAGGCGAAAGCGGCGCACUGGAUUUCUUCUGACGCUGAGGCGCGAAAGCUAGGGGAGCAAACGGG
Molecule: ribosomal RNA, 253 nt
Filed under: uncultured bacterium
Lineage: Bacteria
Description: partial 16S ribosomal RNA
Rfam family: Bacterial small subunit ribosomal RNA
Source: RNAcentral